This 665-nucleotide ribosomal RNA is filed under the name uncultured organism. Its description in RNAcentral is "bacterial SSU rRNA". It matches the Rfam family "Bacterial small subunit ribosomal RNA", at positions 28 to 668 of the family's 1533-position model. The record is from RNAcentral.
AACGAACGCUGGCGGCGUGGAUUAGGCAUGCAAGUCGAGCGGGACCAUCGAAGCUUGCUUUGAUGGUGAGAGCGGCGAACGGGUGAGGAAUACUUGGGUGACCUGCCUUUAAGUCUGGAGUAGCUUCGGGAAACUGGAGGUAAUGCCGGAUGUAAUCGUCCACUACAAAGUGGACUGUUUAAAGAGGGGGAUCUUCGGACCUCUCGCUUAGAGAUGGGCCCAAGCCCUAUCAGCUUGUAGGUGAGGUAACGGCUCACCAAGGCCAAGACGGGUAGCUGGUCUGAGAGGAUGGUCAGCCACACUGGGACUGAGACACUGCCCAGACUCCUACGGGAGGCUGCAGUCGAGAAUCAUUCACAAUGCACGAAAGUGUGAUGAUGCGAGGCCGCGUGAAGGAUGAAGGCCUUAGGGUUGUAAACUUCUGUCAGAAGGAAAGAACAGUCCGACGGGGAAUAUCCGGCGGAUUUGACGGUACCUUCAGAGGAAGCCACAGGUAACUCUGUGCCAGCAGCCGCGGUAAUACAGAGGUGGCAAGCGUUGUACGGAUUUACUGGGCGUAAAGGGUGCGUAAGCGGUUACGUGUGUCAGAUGUGAAAGCGCAUGGAUCGAGCAUGGAAUUGCAUAUGAAACUGCGGAACUCGAGUAUCGGAGAGGUAGAUGGAAUU